AGGCAGCAGUGGGGAAUAUUGCACAAUGGGCGCAAGCCUGAUGCAGCCAUGCCGCGUGUAUGAAGAAGGCCUUCGGGUUGUAAAGUACUUUCAGCAGUGAGGAAGGUGGAUAUGUUAAUAGCAUAUUCAUUUGACGUUAGCUGCAGAAGAAGCACCGGCUAACUCCGUGCCAGCAGCCGCGGUAAUACGGAGGGUGCGAGCGUUAAUCGGAAUUACUGGGCGUAAAGCGCAUGCAGGUGGUUUGUUAAGUCAGAUGUGAAAGCCCGGGGCUCAACCUCGGAAUUGCAUUUGAAACUGGCAAACUAGAGUACUGUAGAGGGGGUAGAAUUUCAGGUGUAGCGGUGAAAUGCGUAGAGAUCUGAAGGAAUACCGGUGGCGAAGGCGGCCCCCUGGACAGAUACUGACACUCAGAUGCGAAAGCGUGGGGAGCAAACAGGAUUAGAUACCCUUGUAG
RNAcentral lists this ribosomal RNA (454 nucleotides) under uncultured bacterium. RNAcentral describes it as "bacterial SSU rRNA". It matches the Rfam family "Bacterial small subunit ribosomal RNA", at positions 346 to 793 of the family's 1533-position model. The record is from RNAcentral.